GCCGGGCAUGGUGACCUAUGCCUGUCAUCCCAGCUACUCAGGAGGUUGAGGUGGGAGGAUCGCUUGAGCCCAGGAGUUCUAGGCUGUAAUGUACUAUGCUGAUCAGGUGUCCUCACUAAGUUCAGCAUCAAUAUGGUGACCUCCUGGGAGCGGGAGACCACCAGGUUGCCUAAGGAGGGGUGAACCUGCCUAGGUUGGAAACGGAGUAGGUCAAAACUCCCGUGCUAGUCAGUAGUGGGAUCACGCCUGUGAAUAGCCACCGCACUCCAGCCUGGGCAACAUAACAAGACUCCGUCUCCU
Molecule: unclassified non-coding RNA, 300 nt
Organism: Callithrix jacchus (white-tufted-ear marmoset)
Lineage: Eukaryota; Metazoa; Chordata; Mammalia; Primates; Cebidae
Rfam family: Metazoan signal recognition particle RNA
About the family: The signal recognition particle (SRP) is a universally conserved ribonucleoprotein. It is involved in the co-translational targeting of proteins to membranes.
Source: Ensembl